This 915-nucleotide ribosomal RNA is filed under the name Triticum aestivum (bread wheat). Its description in RNAcentral is "partial small subunit ribosomal RNA". Lineage: Eukaryota; Viridiplantae; Streptophyta; Magnoliopsida; Poales; Poaceae. The record is from RNAcentral.
AUGGUGGUGGCGGUGGUGUGCCUGCAGGCGCAGCGCGUGGCCGGCCUGCCCGCCUCCGUUGGCGGGAUCGAACUAACAUGCCGGCUUGUUCAGCAUCCUCCUCAUGUCCAUCCUCUUGAUGAUCUUGGUGAUGAUGAUCAUGAUGGAGCGGAUCAUUAUCAUGAAGCAAGGGCGGCUCAGCGUGCCUCUACCUCCGUCUCCGGCGGCAGCGGCGACUUCUGCAGCCAGGUGCUCCUGCUCCACUGUAGCGCCAUCACCCCCUCCCUCAAAGCCGUCCUCACCGUCUCCCUGACCCUGAGACACCCAGGACAACGGCACCAUCAGCAGCAGCAGCAGCACCUCCAGGUCCACCUUGGCGCCGAGCGGCCGGGCGUCCUCACCUACCCGCUCACCGGCGCCACGGCUGGGGGCCUGCUCACCCUCGCGCUCCACCGCAAGCUGCUCUCACUGCCACCACCUUCUACCGCCACUGGCUGCUGCCUGCCACUGCCAGCAUGCUGUCGCCAGCGACGGCGGGGGAUCAACACCACCAACAAGAGCCACAACCACCACCACCAGCAGCAGCAGCAGCAGCAUGGCAUCCAGUACGACUCUGGCGACGAGUCAUCGGCUGGUUUCAUCAUCAUCGAGAAGGAGCUCACGCGGCCGCCCUCCGAGAGCCUGGCCGCCACCAUCAUCGAUGGCAACAGUGACCAAGACAAGAUGAAACUGGAUCGAGAACUGGACAGGGUCGAGGACGAGUUCCUGGCCAUGCUCGAGCUGUCAGCCGACACCACCACCUGUGUCGACUUCGACUUCGACCUCGACCUGCACCUAUACCUGGACAAACUCGUGAGGGAAGCCGAGGCCGAGCUUGGCAAUGCCAGCACCGCUCAUCUUCCCAAAGCUGCUGCUGCAUCCCAUGUAAAUUAUUGA